UACGUAGGGUGCGAGCGUUAAUCGGAAUUACUGGGCGUAAAGCGUGCGUAGGCGGCUAUGUAAGACAGAUGUGAAAUCCCUGGGCUCAACCUAGGAACUGCAUUUGUGACUGCAUUGCUAGAGUGUGGUAGAGGGAGAUGGAAUUCCGCAUGUAGCAGUGAAAUGCGUAGAUAUGCGGAGGAACACCAAUGGCGAAGGCAAGCUCCUGGACCUGCACUGACGCUCAUGCACGAAAGCGUGGGGAGCAAACAGG
This 253-nucleotide ribosomal RNA is filed under the name uncultured bacterium. RNAcentral describes it as "partial 16S ribosomal RNA". It matches the Rfam family "Bacterial small subunit ribosomal RNA", at positions 524 to 776 of the family's 1533-position model. The record is from RNAcentral.